RNAcentral lists this transfer RNA (58 nucleotides) under Dipodomys ordii (Ord's kangaroo rat). It matches the Rfam family "tRNA", at positions 8 to 63 of the family's 71-position model. Rfam says of the family: Transfer RNA (tRNA) molecules are approximately 80 nucleotides in length. Their secondary structure includes four short double-helical elements and three loops (D, anti-codon, and T loops). The record is from Rfam by way of RNAcentral. Lineage: Eukaryota; Metazoa; Chordata; Mammalia; Rodentia; Heteromyidae.
UGGCUCAGUGGUAGAGCGCUUGCUUGGCAUGCAUGAGGCCCUGGGUUCGAUUCCUCAG